This is a long non-coding RNA of Saccostrea echinata, 260 nucleotides long. RefSeq lists it as uncharacterized. Lineage: Eukaryota; Metazoa; Mollusca; Bivalvia; Ostreida; Ostreidae. The transcript has 3 exons. The record is from RefSeq and is a predicted model, not a curated record.
GUCUGCAGCGGUCUUCAACAAAAUGGGGAAAGUGUUGGCUGUUAUAUUGCUUCUUUUUUCUCUGCUUAGCAUAAUUUAUGCACGAUAUGGUCAGCAGUGCUACGGAUUUUGUGACCAGUAUACGAAUUGUGGUAUUAACGCAGACUGCGACUACAGAUAUAUCUGGAGCGGAUUAUGCUGUAUAUAUCAGGGAGGUUGACACUACUGAGAAGAUGUACAUGUAAUUAAAAAAUGAGAAAAUAAAAAAGACACUUAAAGAG